Molecule: ribosomal RNA, 253 nt
Filed under: uncultured bacterium
Lineage: Bacteria
Description: partial 16S ribosomal RNA
Rfam family: Bacterial small subunit ribosomal RNA
Source: RNAcentral
UACGUAGGCAGCGAGCGUUGUUCGGAGUUACUGGGCGUAAAGGGUGUGUAGGCGGUUGUUUAAGUUUGGUGUGAAAUCUCCCGGCUCAACUGGGAGGGUGCGCCGAAUACUGAAUGACUAGAGUGCGGGAGAGGAGAGUGGAAUUCCUGGUGUAGCGGUGAAAUGCGUAGAUAUCAGGAGGAACACCGGCGGUGUAGGCGGCUCUCUGGACCGUAACUGACGCUGAGACACGAAAGCGUGGGGAGCAAACAGG